CUGAGUGAGGGCCUUCGGGCUCGACCUCCAACCCUUUGUGAACACCAACUUGUUGCUUCGGGGGCGACCCUGCCGUUUCGACGGCGAGCGCCCCCGGAGACCAUCAAACACUGCAUCUUUGCGUCGGAGUUCAAGUAAAUUAAACA
This 146-nucleotide unclassified non-coding RNA is filed under the name soil metagenome. Its description in RNAcentral is "partial internal transcribed spacer 1". The record is from RNAcentral.